CUUCUUGGGUCCGCGCGUUGAGGCCCUUGGGGCGCGCGUGCUUGGCGCGCGCCUGCGAGUCCUGACAGGAGCUGAGGGAGCUGAGCGGCGCCUGUGGCUGCUGGGUGUCAGGCGCUGGGAGGGCAGGUCGAGUCUCUUGCCGCUAAGCCCAAUCAGCAUGAUACCAUCCAUGUAAUUGCCCAACAUAAAUUUCUGUGGAAAAAAGAGAUAAUCAAGUACCUGUAAUAGGGCUGCAGAGUUGAUGUAUCCAUAAGAUGGGGUCCCCUCCCGUCCGUGCCCAGAACCACCAGUUUUAUCUCUCCCAAUUCAUGAACACGCACCUCUGUCCCGCCAAGCUGUCUCUUUCCACCUGUGGAGAUUUUUCUGCCACUCCGCAGCCUGCAUUCCCGGGCGUUCC
Long non-coding RNA from Herpailurus yagouaroundi (jaguarundi), 397 nucleotides. RefSeq lists it as uncharacterized. The transcript has 3 exons. NCBI's taxonomy places the organism in Eukaryota, Metazoa, Chordata, Mammalia, Carnivora, Felidae. The record is from RefSeq and is a predicted model, not a curated record.